GGAAAUUUUUGAAAGGUCAUAAAACUUAGUGACAUAUUUUUGGCCGAGACAUUCGUUAAAUCGAUUUAUUACAAUGAAGCAAUUAUGACUAAUUUUUGUACAAAUGGACAAAAAUGUAGAUUACGUUGUCUACUA
Long non-coding RNA from Bradysia coprophila, 135 nucleotides. Lineage: Eukaryota; Metazoa; Arthropoda; Insecta; Diptera; Sciaridae. The record is from RefSeq and is a predicted model, not a curated record.